This 355-nucleotide ribosomal RNA is filed under the name uncultured bacterium. RNAcentral's name for it is "bacterial SSU rRNA". It matches the Rfam family "Bacterial small subunit ribosomal RNA", at positions 917 to 1271 of the family's 1533-position model. The record is from RNAcentral.
GGGCCCGCACAAGCGGUGGAGCAUGUGGUUUAAUUCGAUGCAACGCGAAGAACCUUACCUGGUCUUGACAUCCUGCGAACUUUCUAGAGAUAGAUUGGUGCCUUCGGGAACCGAGUGACAGGUGCUGCAUGGCUGUCGUCAGCUCGUGUCGUGAGAUGUUGGGUUAAGUCCCGUAACGAGCGCAACCCUUGUCCUUAGUUGCCAGCACAUUAUGGUGGGGACUCUAAAUAGACUGCCCGGAAUAACCGGGAGGAAGGUGGGGAUGAUGUCAAGUCAGUAUGUCCCUUAUACCCAGGGCUACACACGUGUUACAAUGGACAGUACAGAAAGUUGCAAUUCCGCGAGGAGGAGCCAA